UUAGAGUUUGAUCCUGGCUCAGAAUGAACGUUGGCGGCGUGGAUUAGGCAUGCAAGUCGUACGUCUCGCAAGAGACGUGGCGGAAGGGUGAGUAAGGCGACGGCAACCAACCCUGGGGAUGGCCAUAACCGCGGGAAACUGCGGCUAAUAGCCAGCGACGCCGAGGCGGGGCAUCCCGCCUGGGCCAAAAGGUGCGAUUCCGCCCUGGGACGGACCGUUGUGGUAUCAGGUAGUUGGCGGGGCAACGGCCCACCAAGCCGACGACGCCUACCGGGCGUGCGAGCGUGGCCCGGCACACUGGGACUGAGACACUGCCCAGACACUUACGGGUGGCUGCAGUCGAGAAUCUUCGGCAAUGGGCGCAAGCCUGACCGAGCGACGCCGCGUGGAGGAUGAAGGCCUUCGGGUUGUAAACUCCUGUCGAGGGGGAACAAGGUGCGGUGCAGAGCCGUGCUUGAGUGAUCCCUGGAGGAAGCACGGGCUAAGUUCGUGCCAGCAGCCGCGGUAAGACGAACCGUGCGAACGUUAUUCGGAAUUACUGGGCUUAAAGCGCGCGUAGGCGGACCGUCGCGUCGAGAGCUGAAAGCCCCCGGCUCAACCGGGGAAGUGGCCUCGAUACGGGCGGUCUGGAGUGGAGGAGGGGGAUCUGGAACUCCCGGUGGAGCGGUGAAAUGCGUUGAGAUCGGGAGGAACGCCGGCGGCGAAAGCGAGAUCCUGGACUUCAACUGACGCUGAGGCGCGAAAGCCAGGGGAGCGAACGGGAUUAGAUACCCCGGUAGCCCUGGCCGUAAACGAUGGGCACUGGAUCGUGUGCUCGCCGAUGGGCGCACGAUCGUAGCGAAAGCGUCAAGUGCCCCGCCUGGGGAGUAUGGUCGCAAGGCUGAAACUCAAAGGAAUUGACGGGGGCUCACACAAGCGGUGGAGCAUGUGGCUUAAUUCGAGGCUACGCGAAGAACCUUAUCCCAGGCUUGACAUGCAGGGAUUAGCCGGCGGAAACGUCGGUGACGCCGCAAGGUGGAACCUGUGCAGGUGCUGCAUGGCUGUCGUCAGCUCGUGCCGUGAGGUGUUGGGUUAAGUCCCGUAACGAGCGAAACCCUUGCCCCUAGUUGCCAGCGGGAAAGCCGGGCACUCUAGGGGGACCGCCGGCGUUAAGCCGGAGGAAGGCGGGGACGACGUCAAGUCAUCAUGGCCCUUAUGCCUGGGGCUGCACACGUGCUACAAUGGGCCGGACAGAGCGUCGCGAAGCCGCAAGGUGAAGCUAAUCGCAAAAACCGGUCCCCAGUUCGGAUUGCGGGCUGCAACCCGCCCGCAUGAAGUUGGAAUCGCUAGUAAUCGCGGAUCAGCACGCCGCGGUGAAUGUGUACCUGAGCCUUGUACACACCGCCCGUCAAGCCACCAAAGCGGGGGGCACCCGAAGUCGUCGACGCCCGCAAGGGCAGACGCCGAAGGUGAAACCCGUGAUGGGGACUAAGUCGUAACAAGGUAACC
Molecule: ribosomal RNA, 1488 nt
Filed under: uncultured bacterium
Lineage: Bacteria
Description: 16S ribosomal RNA
Rfam family: Bacterial small subunit ribosomal RNA
Source: RNAcentral